This 468-nucleotide ribosomal RNA is filed under the name uncultured bacterium. RNAcentral describes it as "partial 16S ribosomal RNA". It matches the Rfam family "Bacterial small subunit ribosomal RNA", at positions 28 to 507 of the family's 1533-position model. The record is from RNAcentral.
GACGAACGCUGGCGGCGUGCUUAACACAUGCCAGUCGAACGGAAAGGCCCUGCUUUUGUGGGGUGCUCGAGUGGCGAACGGGUGAGUAACACGUGAGUAACCUGCCCUUGACUUUGGUAUAACUUCAGGAAACUGGGGCUAAUACCGGAUAGGAGCUCCUGCUGCAUGGUGGGGGUUGGAAAGUUUCGGCGGUUGGGGAUGGACUCGCGGCUUAUCAGCUUGUUGGUGGGGUAGUGGCUGACCAAGGAUUUGGCGGGUAGCCGGCCUGGGAGGGUGACCGGCCACAUUGGGACUGAGAGACGGCCCAGACGGCUACGGGAGGCAGCAGUGGGGAAUAUUGCACAAUGGGCGGAAGCCUGAUGCAGCAACGCCGCGUGCGGGAUGACGGCCUUCGGGUUGUAAACCGCUUUCGCCUGUGACGAAGCGUGAGUGACGGUAAUGGGUAAAGAAGCACCGGCUAACUACGUG